RNAcentral lists this ribosomal RNA (440 nucleotides) under uncultured bacterium. Its description in RNAcentral is "partial 16S ribosomal RNA". It matches the Rfam family "Bacterial small subunit ribosomal RNA", at positions 338 to 795 of the family's 1533-position model. The record is from RNAcentral.
CCUACGGGCGGCAGCAGUGGGGAAUAUUGCACAAUGGGGGAAACCCUGAUGCAGCGACGCCGCGUGAGUGAAGAAGUAUUUCGGUAUGUAAAGCUCUAUCAGCAGGGAAGAAAAUGACGGUACCUGAUUAAGAAGCCCCGGCUAACUACGGGCCAGCAGCCGCGGUAAUACGUAGGGGGCAAGCGUUAUCCGGAUUUACUGGGUGUAAAGGGAGCGUAGACGGCAGCACAAGUCUGGAGUGAAAUGCCGGGGCUUAACCCCGGAACUGCAUUGGAAACUGGGCAGCUUGAGUGCAGGAGAGGUAAGUGGAAUUCCUAGUGUAGCGGUGAAAUGCGUAGAUAUUAGGAGGAACACCAGUGGCGAAGGCGGCUUACUGGACUGUAACUGACGUUGAGGCUCGAAAGCGUGGGGAGCAAACAGGAUUAGAUACCCUAGUAGUC